GUGAGGAAUUUUCCGCAAUGGGCGAAAGCCUGACGGAGCAAUGCCGCGUGAAGGAUGAAGGCCUAUGGGUUGUAAACUUCUUUUCUCAGAAAAGAAUUAUGACGGUAUCUGAGGAAUAAGCAUCGGCUAACUCUGUGCCAGCAGCCGCGGUAAGACAGAGGAUGCAAGCGUUAUCCGGAAUGAUUGGGCGUAAAGCGUCUGUAGGUUGUUUAAAAAGUAUUCUGUCAAAGAUUAGGGCUUAACCCUAGAUAGGCAGAAUAAACUUUUAAGCUAGAGUUUGGUAGAAGCAGAGGGAAUUCCCGGUGGAGCGGUGAAAUGCGUAGAUAUCGGGAGGAACACCAAAGGCGAAGGCACUCUGCUGGGCCAAUACUAACACUGAGAGACGAAAGCGAGGGGAGCAAAUGGGAUUAGAUACCCGAGUAGUCC
Molecule: ribosomal RNA, 426 nt
Filed under: uncultured bacterium
Lineage: Bacteria
Description: partial 16S ribosomal RNA
Rfam family: Bacterial small subunit ribosomal RNA
Source: RNAcentral